GUACUCACUUUGGCAGCACACAUACUAAAAUUGGAAUGGUACAGAGAUUAGCAUGGCGUCUGUGCAAGGAUGCCUCGCAAAUUCAUGAAGUGUUCAAUAUUUUC
Molecule: small nuclear RNA, 104 nt
Organism: Pongo abelii (Sumatran orangutan)
Lineage: Eukaryota; Metazoa; Chordata; Mammalia; Primates; Hominidae
Source: Ensembl